RNAcentral lists this ribosomal RNA (554 nucleotides) under uncultured bacterium. RNAcentral's name for it is "partial 16S ribosomal RNA". It matches the Rfam family "Bacterial small subunit ribosomal RNA", at positions 355 to 902 of the family's 1533-position model. The record is from RNAcentral.
UGGGGAAUUUUGGACAAUGGGCGAAAGCCUGAUCCAGCAAUGCCGCGUGUGUGAAGAAGGCCUUCGGGUUGUAAAGCACUUUUGUCCGGAAAGAAAUCCUUGGCUCUAAUACAGUCGGGGGAUGACGGUACCGGAAGAAUAAGCACCGGCUAACUACGCGCCAGCAGCCGCGGUAAUACGUAGGGUGCAAGCGUUAAUCGGAAUUACUGGGCGUAAAGCGUGCGCAGGCGGUUUGCUAAGACCGAUGUGAAAUCCCCGGGCUCAACCUGGGAACUGCAUUGGUGACUGGCAGGCUAGAGUAUGGCAGAGGGGGGUAGAAUUCCACGUGUAGCAGUGAAAUGCGUAGAGAUGUGGAGGAAUACCGAUGGCGAAGGCAGCCCCCUGGGCCAAUACUGACGCUCAUGCACGAAAGCGUGGGGAGCAAACAGGAUUAGAUACCCUGGUAGUCCACGCCCUAAACGAUGUCAACUAGUUGUUGGGGAUUCAUUUCCUUAGUAACGUAGCUAACGCGUGAAGUUGACCGCCUGGGGAGUACGGUCGCAAGAUUAAAACUU